Long non-coding RNA from Symphalangus syndactylus (siamang), 4019 nucleotides. RefSeq lists it as uncharacterized. The record is from RefSeq and is a predicted model, not a curated record. NCBI's taxonomy places the organism in Eukaryota, Metazoa, Chordata, Mammalia, Primates, Hylobatidae.
AGCCAGCACUGGCAGCUUGGUCGGGUCUGCUUCCUUGCUGUGGAGGCUUUGUUUUUUACUCUUUGCAGUAAAUCUUGCUGCUGCUCACUCUUUGGGUCCGCACUGCUUUUGUGAGCUGUAACACUCACGGAGAAGGUCUGCAGCUUCAUUCCUGAGCCAGCGAGACCACCAACCCGCCAGGAGGAAGAAACCCCGAACACACCCGAACAUCAGAAGGAACAAACUCCGAACACGCCGCCUUUAAGAACUGUAACACUUUAAGAACGCGAGGGUCCGUGGCUUCAUUCUUGAAGUCACUGAGACCAAGAACCCACCAAUUCCGGACACAAAGGCAUCGUUGCACUCCAGCCUGAGUGACAAGAGUGAAACCCUGUCUUAAAAAUAAGCUUCCAUUGAUGACCAGCUUUGGCUGUUCCAACUCACCACAGCCUCUAAAAGACUCACGCUUUCUUUGGAUUCCUUCAUACCUGCAGCAUGUUUCCAUGCCUGGGAGGGAGAAUGAGUAAGUGAACAGCUUACUCUUACUGGAACAUUCCAAUGCUCUUACAGAUAACAACCAAGUGAAUGAAAACAAAAAGUUCAGGCAUUCACUGGCAAAAUCCAACUCUGAACAGGAUCUCACUCUGUAGCCCAGGCUGGAGUGUCGUGGCCUGAUCUCGGCUCAGUGCAGCUUUGACCUCCCCAGCUCAAGUGAUCCUCCCACCUCAGCCUCCCGAGUAGCUGGGACCACAGAUAUGGACCACAAGUCUCAGAAGAGUAGGAAGUGCCCAGCAUCACACAGGAAGCAAGUUACAGAACACAAGGACUCUGUUCGUAAACUCUUCAACAUCUUUUAUCACAUAAGGGCUCAUAGGUCCAACUAACUGAAAGCCUCAAUUUGUGGGAAGAAGAGAAGCGAGGCUGGGGACACAGCACAAACGGUGUUUACGCCACUGAAGUUCUUUUGAAAUGGAAAGGCUCUGCAUGAAGAAGCGAACAGUUAUGCCACUGCCUCGCCAAUUCCAGUGAGGAGCUCAUCUUCAAUGUAGUGUUCAACGUAGGUGGCAAAACUGUAAUUUUUCCCUUUUUUGAAACUAUUUUUUCUUCUUUUAUUUUUGAAAUUCUCAUCUAAGCGACAGUUUCUUGUACUAUAGUGACUCCUGCUGGGAGAGGUAAGUUGAAGUAGCUGAAGGUCUCUUACAGAUAUAUCAACUCCCGGCCAGUAAAAAAGAUGUCCUAAACGCAGGAGAUGGAGUUAAACUGUUCCCCUACCUUGGACGCAAUGGCUUCUUUCAUCACUAAGAACAAACCCCUAGGUUUUACAAUUGAGACUGAGAAACUAGUACAGUACUUGUACAAUUUUUGAUCUACAGCAUCACGACGUGAAGCUGCAACAAUUAGAUGUAAAGGGUCCAUUCAUGAGGAAUAACAUCACUUUGACCCUUUGUGUUAGCUCCUACUGCUAAUCUUUCCAUAAGCGUGAACUUACUUUCAAUUUGAAGAAGAUGAAAAAGUCUUUUGCAAAACCCCAAUACUGUUUUCUGAUCUAUGUACCUGAAUGGAGAAACGUAGUCUUACCUCGUUUUUUUCCACUACAAGCCAAGCUACUUGUAAUCCUUCCAAACCUUUAAAGGGGACCUCCCUUGUUAGCAUCUCCCAGAGAACCUGGAACAAAAAGAAAAUGGAAUUUUUAUUCUCGUACUUUAUAUUUUUUGGUACAUAUUACUGAAACUUUAUCUAACAUGUAAUUGUAUCUAAUUACCAGACACAACCAACCCCAUCUGUAGAAACUUGGGCAAAACAAUUAUGCUCAUGCACACAACUUCCAUAUAUUAAAUACUUUUUAGGUUCUUUUUUAUAAAGAAAAAACCUGGUUUAGAAAUUAGGACAUCUAGAGCCAGACUUAAAAUUUUAUGAAACCAAUGGGCCUGACUGAUUUAAUGUCAUCUCAUAAAUUAUCAGAACUUUUAUGUUCUCACAAAUUAGAUUUUGUAUUUUGUUAGUUAAAACUCUUUCUGCCUUCAAUUUCUGACACAUUUGUGUAGGAAAUAAUAACUGGGAAUUCAACAAUAUUUUUAAAGGUUCAAUAAUGGUCUCAUCAGAAAUAACUUGAGCCCCAAAUCCAAAUCACUGGCUAACGUACCUACCCCACAAUGGUAGAUACUUGCAAAAUUGUAAUAUUUAGAUUUUACAUGUUACAUUUUAGAUUUUGGAGAAAUCUCCCUCAAAAUGAGUCGGUCUAAGGGAUCUAUUUUCAUCUACCUACAAUAUAAUCUAUCAUACCAUACUCUAAGAUGUAAUAAACACUUUCUAUACAUAUAAGCUGACUAUGUGAAUGUGAGCUUAUAUGUGUGUUCAUCUUUGUGCAGUUCUUGAUAUCAGUAUGAUUAUUAAAUCUGAGUGGAAUGCCCAAAGAAAAGCAGGUGGUAUAAGAUACGACAUCAGCUUUUUUUUUUUUACACUAAACAAAAAUGACAUUUGGCAUACAAAAGUAACUUUAUUGAGGAAGUCACUUGGAGGUCUAAAAAUAUAUUAAAUGAUGCCUAAAAAUACCAGUUAUGAGGAUUCAGGCCAAAUAUUGUGAUCUUUCACCUUAAAAAUAUUUUCCGACUCAUUUUAUUUUAUAUUGAGACGUCCUCACAUUUAAUCGAUGCUAGGAAUACUGCUGAUUUUGGGUUCUCUUGAAACACUGAGUAAUGGAGAUUUGUACACUAUGUUACUUUUCCCUAUUUAUACAAAUGGAGUUCAAAAAUGUGAGUCUACCAAUACUCUGUAAAGUGCAAAAACAAUUCUAGUUUUAUCAGUAAUAGUCCUAAUAAUAAAACCACCACUUAUUGAGUACUUAUUAUAUUCCAGAUGCCCUUUUCAUAUAUUACCAUGAUUAAUAGCAAUCCUACUGGAUACAUAUUACCCUUAUUUUAUAGGUGAGGUAACUAUUUAAGAAGUUAAAAAAAAAACUUGCCCAAAGACACUCAGUUAUCCAGUGACAGAGCCAGACUGUGAACCUGCUGGCUCACCCCGAAGGUCAGGCUCUUGACUCCUUUUAAUGUGAGUGAAGGGAAAGUGACAGUACUAGAGAGAAUGCGACAGGCCCUGUCUUAGGUAUGGCGCCCUGGGAGAAGCAGGAAGAGAACCAGUGGCUUCGACUCAGAUUUCCCUUGUUUUAAAAACAAAAGCUCUUUUCUAAUAGGAACGUAGAUGGAGCACACAUACUCUAGUCAAGCAAAUCAUAGAAACCUUUCACUCCAUAUCCACUAUUUCCUCAGCCAGUGCUCAGUCUCAUUUCAACCAUAACAUAGUAAAUGAAUUCUGGCUAAUACGAAGAUAAUUAGCAGGAAAAUCAGGGAAAUUGGCAGAUGCGGCUCAAGCAGGAGAAAAGAAAUUCACUGAAGGCCUCUUUGGGCUUUUAAUCAAGUGUGUAAGGUACUCCUUUAGAGGAGCUACUGAAUAAUUCUAUUUGAGUCACACAAGUGAUUAGGAAAAGGUAAGGGGCAUCCCACAAGGGGACAAUUCUAGUGAACACCACACGUAAAGGAAGGUUGACAGAACAGGUAUGCAAUCACCCUGACCUACACAGGGAGGGAGGCUGGGCAGCAAGAGGGCUGAGCAGGAAAUGGAGCCCCUCAGUUGGCUGCAAUUACCACUCCACAGGGGGCUAGGGCUGGGGAGGGGAAAGGAUAUGAAGGGCAAGUAAAUUAAUGGAUGUGGCAUUCCUAAGGAGAAUGGGAACAGGGAGUUAGCCUCCAAUAAAUCAAACGCUCCAGACCCCCAAACGCACAGAUGAGCAGUGCCUCUUCUGAGUUUGGCCUGCAGGUAUGAUACAUGCAUGUACACGUGUGCACACAUGCACAGACUGAAUUUUGUGAAGUAAAUUGCACAUCCAAGAGUUUGGGGGGACAACAACAGAAAAACAUUUACGUCAUUCUUGAUUCCAAAAUAUUCUGCUGGAAAAUGUCCAAAAUCUAAUAAAAUUUAAGUUAUAUCUCUCUGAGAGCUCUAACUGUGAAAAAUAAAGAAAAAAAUAAGCCAGUUUCAUUUGA